GUACACAAAAAUGCACAUAUUGUGAGCUCGAUGAGUAGGGCGGGACACGUGGUAUCCUGUCUGAAUAUGGGGGGACCAUCCUCCAAGGCUAAAUACUCCUGACUGACCGAUAGUGAACCAGUACCGUGAGGGAAAGGCGAAAAGAACCCCGGCGAGGGGAGUGAAAAAGAACCUGAAACCGUGUACGUACAAGCAGUGGGAGCCUCUUUAUGGGGUGACUGCGUACCUUUUGUAUAAUGGGUCAGCGACUUAUAUUCUGUAGCAAGGUUAACCGAAUAGGGGAGCCGAAGGGAAACCGAGUCUUAACUGGGCGUUAAGUUGCAGGGUAUAGACCCGAAACCCGGUGAUCUAGCCAUGGGCAGGUUGAAGGUUGGGUAACACUAACUGGAGGACCGAACCGACUAAUGUUGAAAAAUUAGCGGAUGACUUGUGGCUGGGGGUGAAAGGCCAAUCAAACCGGGAGAUAGCUGGUUCUCCCCGAAAGCUAUUUAGGUAGCGCCUCGUGAAUUCAUCUCCGGGGGUAGAGCACUGUUUCGGCAAGGGGGUCAUCCCGACUUACCAACCCGAUGCAAACUGCGAAUACCGGAGAAUGUUAUCACGGGAGACACACGGCGGGUGCUAACGUCCGUCGUGAAGAGGGAAACAACCCAGACCGCCAGCUAAGGUCCCAAAGUCAUGGUUAAGUGGGAAACGAUGUGGGAAGGCCCAGACAGCCAGGAUGUUGGCUUAGAAGCAGCCAUCAUUUAAAGAAAGCGUAAUAGCUCACUGGUCGAGUCGGCCUGCGCGGAAGAUGUAACGGGGCUAAACCAUGCACCGAAGCUGCGGCAGCGACACUAUGUGUUGUUGGGUAGGGGAGCGUUCUGUAAGCCUGUGAAGGUGGCCUGUGAGGGUUGCUGGAGGUAUCAGAAGUGCGAAUGCUGACAUAAGUAACGAUAAAGCGGGUGAAAAGCCCGCUCGCCGGAAGACCAAGGGUUCCUGUCCAACGUUAAUCGGGGCAGGGUGAGUCGACCCCUAAGGCGAGGCCGAAAGGCGUAGUCGAUGGGAAACAGGUUAAUAUUCCUGUACUUGGUGUUACUGCGAAGGGGGGACGGAGAAGGCUAUGUUGGCCGGGCGACGGUUGUCCCGGUUUAAGCGUGUAGGCUGGUUUUCCAGGCAAAUCCGGAAAACCAAGGCUGAGGCGUGAUGACGAGGCACUACGGUGCUGAAGCGACAAAUGCCCUGCUUCCAGGAAAAGCCUCUAAGCAUCAGGUAACAUCAAAUCGUACCCCAAACCGACACAGGUGGUCAGGUAGAGAAUACCAAGGCGCUUGAGAGAACUCGGGUGAAGGAACUAGGCAAAAUGGUGCCGUAACUUCGGGAGAAGGCACGCUGAUAUGUAGGUGAAGCGACUUGCUCGUGGAGCUGAAAUCAGUCGAAGAUACCAGCUGGCUGCAACUGUUUAUUAAAAACACAGCACUGUGCAAACACGAAAGUGGACGUAUACGGUGUGACGCCUGCCCGGUGCCGGAAGGUUAAUUGAUGGGGUUAGCGGUAACGCGAAGCUCUUGAUCGAAGCCCCGGUAAACGGCGGCCGUAACUAUAACGGUCCUAAGGUAGCGAAAUUCCUUGUCGGGUAAGUUCCGACCUGCACGAAUGGCGUAAUGAUGGCCAGGCUGUCUCCACCCGAGACUCAGUGAAAUUGAACUCGCUGUGAAGAUGCAGUGUACCCGCGGCAAGACGGAAAGACCCCGUGAACCUUUACUAUAGCUUGACACUGAACAUUGAGCCUUGAUGUGUAGGAUAGGUGGGAGGCUUUGAAGUGUGGACGCCAGUCUGCAUGGAGCCGACCUUGAAAUACCACCCUUUAAUGUUUGAUGUUCUAACGUUGGCCCGUAAUCCGGGUUGCGGACAGUGUCUGGUGGGUAGUUUGACUGGGGCGGUCUCCUCCUAAAGAGUAACGGAGGAGCACGAAGGUUGGCUAAUCCUGGUCGGACAUCAGGAGGUUAGUGCAAUGGCAUAAGCCAGCUUGACUGCGAGCGUGACGGCGCGAGCAGGUGCGAAAGCAGGUCAUAGUGAUCCGGUGGUUCUGAAUGGAAGGGCCAUCGCUCAACGGAUAAAAGGUACUCCGGGGAUAACAGGCUGAUACCGCCCAAGAGUUCAUAUCGACGGCGGUGUUUGGCACCUCGAUGUCGGCUCAUCACAUCCUGGGGCUGAAGUAGGUCCCAAGGGUAUGGCUGUUCGCCAUUUAAAGUGGUACGCGAGCUGGGUUUAGAACGUCGUGAGACAGUUCGGUCCCUAUCUGCCGUGGGCGCUGGAGAACUGAGGGGGGCUGCUCCUAGUACGAGAGGACCGGAGUGGACGCAUCACUGGUGUUCGGGUUGUCAUGCCAAUGGCACUGCCCGGUAGCUAAAUGCGGAAGAGAUAAGUGCUGAAAGCAUCUAAGCACGAAACUUGCCCCGAGAUGAGUUCUCCCUGACUCCUUGAGAGUCCUGAAGGAACGUUGAAGACGACGACGUUGAUAGGCCGGGUGUGUAAGCGCAGC
Molecule: ribosomal RNA, 2521 nt
Filed under: Escherichia coli
Lineage: Bacteria; Pseudomonadati; Pseudomonadota; Gammaproteobacteria; Enterobacterales; Enterobacteriaceae
Description: partial 23S ribosomal RNA
Rfam family: Bacterial large subunit ribosomal RNA
Source: RNAcentral